ACGAGAUUCUCCUGGUUUUCGUGGGCGGGGACCCUCCCUCUUCCAGUCUCCUUGGGAGAGAUUUAACCGUGUGAGGACUGGAGUUCUCCGGGCCGCUGCGACUCCUCAGCCGGGCGGGCGCCGGCGCCACGCCUCGGGUCAGUCACGACGCUGAGGAAAAUCCUCCAUGUCCGGGAUGGGAGGCUGGUGAUGCUGGGAAGGAGCCCUCUGCCACCGCUUAUGUCGGUGUCCGGGUGACUGGACCGGUUUUCGUCCUUCCGUUUACCUCCAGAGACGACUGAGACCUGCCCUUGCUUAGAAAGAAGAGAUGACGACGCUGAUUAGCCCAAAAUCAUGGAGCUAGAAAGUGAGCCAAGACUCAAAUCCAUGACUGCCUGCUAUAGGCGGAAAUUUUAAGUAAAUAACUGGAGAAAACUUAAAAGACAUUCAGAGAUAAGUAACAACAAAUGUAUAUGUUAAAAUUUUUUAAUGAAAUUUAGUAUUCUGAGAUUUUAUUUGAAUGGUUCAAAGUGUUAGGUAUAUUAUGGUUGCUUAUGGGAGGUUUCCUGAAGGAAGUAGAUUUUGAGCUAGUGGGGUUUUGUUUUGUUUUUGUUUUUGAAUCUGUUUUAAUAAUAAGAUGAUAUUAUAUAUGAUAAUAAUAUGAUCCAUGAUAUUCUGGGACUAGCAGACCAGUUAAAGAAACAAGAGGUAAGGAGCCAUUAAUUUCAUUUUGAAAAUGGCACACAGAAAUCCUUCUUCCACUUUCCUAAUGUUGCCACCUAAGCAAAACACAUGUAUCCCAGAAUAUACUGUAAGUAUUCAGUUGGUCAGAGCUAAAAAGAACCCACAAUUUUGAGAAGCAACGUUUCAUCAUGGCUGAGUUAGUGAUCAGAAGGGUCAACCCCCAAUGGGAAACCAUUAGUAAUGAUUUAUUCCAAGAAUCAGUUCCACAGUUCCAGGUACUCUAGUGGUAUAUGAUACUCCAAGCCAGUUUUCAACUUCAAACUCUUUGUUUGUAGUUACAUCAUAGUUUCUUGUUGAAGAGGACAAAGGCUUGACUGCAUGGGAACUAACAUGCAAAUUAAAAGUGAAAACAUUUUUCCAAAAAUCUGGAGAGGCCAAAAAAAAAAAUUCAGAUUUUUUUAAACAUCCAGAUUUCAUCAAGGUAUUUUGCAUCUGUGUGUAGUGGAAAGAGCCAGAAAAUCUUGGGAACCAAUUGCACAGGCUAGAUCUCAGUUGGCACGUAUGUAAAAUGAAGUUAUGUCUGAUGCUCUCCACUGGCCUUAUAUUGUAUGCCUAUGAUGAAAUAUGGUCUUAGUCCAUUAAGUUAUAUGCAUAAUUGAAGCUAGAAAUCAAGUAUGGGGAUAAAUUGGAGAUCAAUUUCUAUUCUGUUUUAAUAACAAAAAUAAAAAUAUAUUUAUUCUCCACAUUUUUCUAAUUGAACCUUUUUUAUUCAUCAAAAUCUAUCUUUGCUAUUCUCAAUGGACAGUAUUUAUUAUAGUAAAUGUAUAUAUGUACCAGGAACAAUACUAGAGUAUUUUUUCUCUUUUUAUUUAUUUUUAUAUAUAAUAUAAUGUGUAUAUAUACACAUGUUGUAUAUACUGGGUAUAUAUAUAUCAUUAUGCAUGUUUAUUACAUAUUGUUAGAUAUUAUUGUAUAUAUGUUUUAUACACACAUACAAACCAGUCAGGCUUAAAUGAGACAAAGUAAAGAAUCUAGUAUUGUUCCUGGUACAUAAUAGCAUAAUAUUAUCUAUAUAUAUACUAGAUAUUAUAAUUCCUGCAGAAGCUCCGAAUCCCUUACUCUAAAGUCUGAUAUACACAGAUGUAAUUCUGUAUACUUUUAAGCAAGUUGAGAAUUAUUGCAAGUCACUCCUCUUGGGGUUGACUAAUAAAAGAAGGGACUAGGGUUGAGACUAGAAAAGAGAGAUAAAGCAAAAGACAAAGCAAGUAUAAGAAGCCUUUGGAAACAUAAAGUAAAGGAACAUGAAUCAAGAUCAGUCUUAGAACUGCAUACCAAGGUCUGUUUGCAGUGAGGAAGAGGAGAAGAUGAUGUCUUAUAGCAUCAAGUUAUCAGCUGAGCUAAGAUAGGAUAACUCUGUGAUUUAGGGAAUGGAUUUGGAAAAUAUCUACUUUCUCCAUCUUGAGCUCUACACUUAUUCUGCAUAACUGGGACUGUGAUAGGCUGUGGGACAGAAGUUAGCAGCUCCAGGUUACAGAAUACUAUGAAGAUAUUAGACAUCUGAAUAGAACACCAAGUUCUUGCUUUCUGCAUUCCAUUUAAGUUUGUCUCCUCAUGCCUACAUGGCACAAACUUUGCCCUUCAUCGUCUUCCUGAGGAAACCCAGACACCAAGCAUAUCAUCAUGUUUGCAGUCUUUCUGAAUUUAUGGUCAUGAAUGUUGAAGGCCAUGGAAUGUCAAUCACCCAUCUUCUCCAGGUUCUAACCGACUGAGAAUAGACGCAAGGAACCAAAUGAGCAUCUCAUUAGAGUGUCAUCUUUAUUACCUGGAUGAGCCAUUUAAAGAUGCAGGGACUUCCCUGGUGGCACAGUGGUUAAGAAUUCUCCUGCCAAUGCAGGAGGCACGGGUUCAAUCCCUGGUGUGGGAAGAUCCCACAUGCCGCGGAGCAGCUAAGCCCAUGCACCACAACUACUGAGCCCACACGCUGCAACUACUGGAGCCUGCGUGCCUACAGCCCAUACUCUGCAACAAGAGAGAAGCCACCGCAGUGAGAAGCCCGCGCACUGCAACGAAGGGUAUCCCCUGCUCGCCGCAACCAGAGAAAGCCCGUGCAGCAAGGAAAACCCAACGCAGCCAAAAUAAAUAAAAGAAAAAAUAAAGAAAAGAAAAAAAUAAAAAUGAAAAAAAAGAUUCUUAGUUUACUGGCCAUAUAGGCCAUGGGUAGGUUUUGGUCCAUGAGCCAUAAGCCUACAGAUUUAGGAGUGACUUAUUCUAAAGCCCUUUUGGCGGAUACUACUUCUUUGCUUGGCCUGAUUGUUUAGAGGGGAGAGGAGGGCAGGAGCCUGGAAUCAAAUUAUCCCCUCAGGCAGCCAAAUAUGCCCAGCCUGGGCAGAAAGGAAUGCUUCCCAUCAGCAAAUCAUCUCUAACUCUCUCAUAUCUCAAGAAAGAUCCUUUCUUUAGAUGAGCAGAAGACUUGUCUCCAGAGGAGAUACUUAAACUGAGACUUGAGAGAUAUAUGGCAAAGGGAAGCAGGAGGUGGAAAAAGAGUGUUGCAUGAAGAACACUGUUUGGAAAUCUGUACACUUUGCUCUUUAGAAGGCAGUUGGGAAUUAUACUCUCAGAACUAAAUCCCUAUGUUACCUCCUGCCAUCUUUUCUUUUACCUCUGCUCCUAUCUUGUAAUAAUUCACUCACACCUCGUAAUCAUGUUUGUAUUGUUUAUGGAAUUUAAGUGUAUUAUUGUUAUUGAAUGUUCUUAAUUUCAAAAUUAUAUAAAGUAUUAUACAAAUGCUUUUUCUAAAAAUGAAGUUGUUUUUUCACUUGCAUAUAUUCUCUGAUUCUUUUUUUUUUUAAUAGGAGUUCUUUUCCCAUUUUUUUUUAAAGUCUUUAUUGAAUUUGUUACAAUAUUGCUUCUGGGUUUUUUUAUGCUUUGGUUUUUAGGCUGUGAGGCAUGUGGGAUCUUAGCUCCCCCACCAGGGAUUGAACCUACACCACCUGCAUUGGAAGGCGAAGUCUUAACCACUGAACCGUCAGGGAAGUUCUUCUGAUUCCUUUUUUAAUUGAUGAUAUUUGCCCACUUCAAAGGAGCUUCCCUCUUUCGUCAUAUGAAAAAAUAAAUAAAUAAAUAAAUAAAC
Long non-coding RNA from Orcinus orca (killer whale), 3793 nucleotides. RefSeq lists it as uncharacterized. The record is from RefSeq and is a predicted model, not a curated record. The transcript is spliced from 3 exons. NCBI's taxonomy places the organism in Eukaryota, Metazoa, Chordata, Mammalia, Artiodactyla, Delphinidae.